This is a long non-coding RNA of Apodemus sylvaticus (European woodmouse), 1957 nucleotides long. RefSeq lists it as uncharacterized. Lineage: Eukaryota; Metazoa; Chordata; Mammalia; Rodentia; Muridae. The transcript is spliced from 3 exons. The record is from RefSeq and is a predicted model, not a curated record.
AGACUAAAAAUUGUCACAGACUUAAGUAACAUUUUUGUGUUUGUGCCAUUUGAACCAACUCUUCUUUCUUUUCCUGGCUUUGGCCCUUGGAAAGGUUCAAGGUCACGAAACAACAUUAUUUAUGCCAGCUGCAACCCUUGCCACAAAGCCUUGAGGCAUCCCAAUGACAAAUGCAACUCGAGGAGCUGAAGCAAUCCGGUGAUUUUCCAUCAAUAAGAUGGUUUCCAGCAGCAAACCCCCAUGGGGAGUGAUACGGCUACUCAGUGACUCAAGCGCAGAUAGCAUCAUAAAUCUGAUUGGUCUUUUUCUGCUUUUUUGCAAAGAAAACCCCACCUGCUGGUGUGUCGGUUACUGACAUAGCAGCCCUUGGGAUCUUAUGCCUGUUCUUCCUGAGUCAGAAGGGAAAUCCAAGGAGGGCAGUAAAUGCCGAGAAGACAGACGUCCUGGAAGGAGUGGUACCCUUUAAUUGAGAUCUGUGCAGUUCAAGUUCUGGGGCAUCAGAAAUCUGCUGCAAAUAUUUGCCCGGGCAUAGUAAAGUCUGCCCACAAGACAGUUUAUCAGGAAAGGAAUCCCUUAAGGUGGAGAAUCAAUGGCCGCAUUUUUUUUUCAUGGGAUGGUCUACAUUUCUGAGAAAAACUAAGCAGUGAGAACUUCCAAGAAGUGAGCUGAUACCAUGGGGAUGGGAACACACCACCCCGAGACUCUAACGCUUCCGACGGGCUCCGGCCUGGCGUCAGUCCCACGCGCUGACACUUCUUACAAACCAAAGGAGAAACUGCACCCUUAGGAUUUUUUGCAGUUAUGAAUGGUGUAGUAAACCACAUAUUUGCCUUUGAGUGCCUGUCUGGGAAGCAGAGCUUCUAGAUCUGAUAUGUGAGCAUGCAUGAUCUCACGUUUAUGGUAUAAAAUCCAGGAUAAUCAAAAACGAAAACAGAGAAUCCUUUUCCAAAUAAAGGCUCAGGAACUGCACUUGCGGCCUUCUGUAGUCCAAUGUGAAGAGCUCCGCUUCCGUGAACUGAAGACCGUGGAAGCCUGCGCUGCGGGGCAGUGUUGCGUGUGACAGGCCUGAAGCCAUCUGGGUUUGUUCUCAGGCGCAUGCUUUAGUCUUUUUCCUGCUCUGCAGCAGAGAUGCUGACCACAGCAAGCCAUUUCCUUCUCCGCUUCCAGGAAAACUGGCCAAGAAGAGGCACCGUUAUGUGUCAGGAAGGCAGUGGGAGAAGGCGGGGAGCCCCUCCCUUUUCUGUGCCCUGCCCGGUACUGGGCUACAACAGUGUCUUUGUCGAGGUUUCUGCUUCUAUCUUACAAACCCAUGAUCACUCUUGCUCCCAGUGGCCCCUGGUUUUUAUCCCAUCACUGCUGCCCCUGCAGCCUAAGGUGGAAAUGCCUCCCUGCUAGCUGCACCUCAUAUUUGUAGUGUUUUAACAUAAACUUCCAUAUCUUAGCUACCCCAUCACCCAUGCCACCAACUCCCUUCACUAAAUUCCCUCUUUUCUAAUAAUUCUUUUCCUUGUUAGAUACACAACCCGAGGAUUCAGAAUCAGGUCCAGUCCGUCUUAAGGCAGGAUGGCUUGGUAAGCACAGGGUAGGCAGGACUGAAGUCAUGAAUAGAGCCACUGGUUUGUGUCUUAGGAACAAAUUGUCUUAUGCAAUCUAGACUUUAAGAUCAUACUUGUAAUUGCAGUACUAGAGAGACUCAUGCAAAAGGAUAGUAAGCUUGAGGCUAGCCUGGACUACAUAGUGAGUUCUAGGACAGCCUGAGCUAUAGUGUGGGACCUUGGAAAAAAAGAAAGAAAGGGAGAGGGAGGCAAGGGAGAGAAAGAUGGAGGGAGGGAGAAAGAGGAGGGAGAUUGAUUUCCAUAUGUGUGUAGAAGCUUAUUACCAUCUCAUAGGACAAAAGCUUACAGAGGUAUGACGCCUUCUGGAAGCCAUAGUAUAUAGCCACACUAUAUGCUGGAGU